CGUUUCAUUUAAGCCCAUUUAUUUUAGUCAUUUUAUUUUGUCUCUCUAUCAGCACCCCCCUGGGUUGGAUCAGCAAUGCCCACUUGGGCUUGGCCUUUACCUAGGGCCCAACUGUUUUGUUUUUUUUAUUUCUUUAUCCUGUUUUAGCCCAUUUUUAGUUGUUUGCUUAAUUCAAAUAGAGUUUUUAUCCACCAAUUAAGUUCCUAUUAUAAUUAUUAUUAAUAUCU
Molecule: long non-coding RNA, 227 nt
Filed under: Lathyrus oleraceus (garden pea)
Lineage: Eukaryota; Viridiplantae; Streptophyta; Magnoliopsida; Fabales; Fabaceae
Description: Pisum sativum (pea) long non-coding RNA (PSAT_LNC021922)
Source: RNAcentral